RNAcentral lists this unclassified non-coding RNA (253 nucleotides) under Candidatus Spechtiibacteriota bacterium. RNAcentral's name for it is "Candidatus Spechtbacteria bacterium contains 16S-23S intergenic spacer region". It matches the Rfam family "Bacterial small subunit ribosomal RNA", at positions 524 to 776 of the family's 1533-position model. The record is from RNAcentral. Lineage: Bacteria; Candidatus Spechtiibacteriota.
UACGCGAGCCCCAAGCGUUACCCGGAAUCAUUGGGCGUAAAGGGUCCGUAGGGGGACUUAUUAGUCCCGUGUUAAAUCCAGAGGCUCAACCUCUGGUCUGCGCGGGAAACGGUAAGUCUAGAGGGCGUGAGAGGCCAGUAGAACGCACGGUGUAGGGGUGAAAUCCGUUGAUAUCGUGCGGAAUACCAAAGGCGAAGGCAACUGGCUGGCGCGACCCUGACCCUCAGGGACGAAAGCUAGGGUAGCGAACAGG